This 514-nucleotide ribosomal RNA is filed under the name uncultured bacterium. RNAcentral's name for it is "bacterial SSU rRNA". It matches the Rfam family "Bacterial small subunit ribosomal RNA", at positions 25 to 518 of the family's 1533-position model. The record is from RNAcentral.
CAGAACGAACGCUGGCGGCGUGCUUAACACAUGCAAGUCGAACGCGAAAGGGACUUCGGUCCUGAGUAAAGUGGCGCACGGGUGAGUAACGCGUAGAUAACCUGUCUUCAUGUCUGGAAUAAUACGCCGAAAGGGGUACUAAUACCGGAUAUUCUUGCUUUUCAUAAGUUAUGCAAGCAAAGGUGGCCUCUGCAUAUGCUACUGCAUGAAGAGGGGUCUGCGUACCAUUAGCUAGUAGGUGGGGUAAUGGCCUACCUAGGCGACGAUGGUUAGCGGGUCUGAGAGGAUGAUCCGCCACACUGGCACUGGAACACGGGCCAGACUCCUACGGGAGGCAGCAGUGAGGAAUAUUGCGCAAUGGGGGAAACCCUGACGCAGCGACGCCGCGUGAAGUGAGGAAGGCCUUCGGGUCGUAAAGCUCUGUCAAGAGGAAAGAAGUGUACAAUGGCUAAUACCUGUUGUAUUUGACGGUACCUCUAAAGGAAGCACCGGCUAACUCCGUGCCAGCCGCUGC